CCGACCUUAGCUCAGUUGGUAGAGCGGAAGACUGUAGUAGUGGCUGUAAUCUUUAGGUCGCUGGUUCGAAUCCGGCAGGUCGGA
Molecule: non-coding RNA, 84 nt
Organism: Solanum tuberosum (potato)
Lineage: Eukaryota; Viridiplantae; Streptophyta; Magnoliopsida; Solanales; Solanaceae
Source: Rfam